AUAUCCUUCUAGAGGAGCCUGUUCUAUAAUCGAUAAACCCCGAUAAACCUCACCAAUUCUUGCUAAUACAGUCUAUAUACCGCCAUCUUCAGCAAACCCUAAAAAGGAAAAAAAGUAAGCGUAAUUAUGAUACAUAAAAACGUUAGGUCAAGGUGUAACCUAUGAAAUGGGAAGAAAUGGGCUACAUUCUCUACACUAAGAGAAUCAAGCACGAAAGUUAUUAUGAAACCAAUAACCAAAGGAGGAUUUAGCAGUAAACUAAGAAUAGAGUGCUUAGUUGAAUUAGGCCAUGAAGCACGCACACACCGCCCGUCACCCUCA
This 321-nucleotide ribosomal RNA is filed under the name Bos indicus (zebu cattle). Its description in RNAcentral is "partial 12S ribosomal RNA". Lineage: Eukaryota; Metazoa; Chordata; Mammalia; Artiodactyla; Bovidae. The record is from RNAcentral.